Non-coding RNA from Dipodomys ordii (Ord's kangaroo rat), 65 nucleotides. Lineage: Eukaryota; Metazoa; Chordata; Mammalia; Rodentia; Heteromyidae. The record is from Rfam.
GGUGGCUCAGUGGUAGAGCUCUUGCCUUGCAUGCAUGAGGCCCUGGGUUCAAUUCCUCAGUACCA